CCUACGGGUGGCAGCAGUGAGGAAUAUUGGUCAAUGGGCGCUAGCCUGAACCAGCCAAGUAGCGUGAAGGAUGACUGCCCUAUGGGUUGUAAACCUCUUUUAUAUGGGAAUAAAGUGCAGUAUGUAUACUGCUUUGCAUGUACCUUAUGAAUACGGCUCGGCCAACUCCGGGCCAGCAGCCGCGGUAAUACGGAGGAUCCGAGCGUUAUCCGGAGUUAUUGGGUUUAAAGGGAGCGUAGGCGGGUUGUUAAGUCAGGUGUGAAAGUUUGCGGCUCAACCGUAAAAUUGCAGUUGAGACUGGGAUCCGUGAGUACGGUAGAGGUAGGGGGAAUUCGUGGUGUAGGGGUGAAAUGCUUAGAUAUCAAGAAGAACACCGAUUGCGAAGGCAGCCUGCUGGACUGUAACUGACGCUGAUGCUCGAAAGUGUGGGGAUCAAACAGGAUUAGAUACCCUUGUAGUC
Molecule: ribosomal RNA, 460 nt
Filed under: uncultured bacterium
Lineage: Bacteria
Description: partial 16S ribosomal RNA
Rfam family: Bacterial small subunit ribosomal RNA
Source: RNAcentral